CUCCUAGACCCAUUUAUGAGCUGACUACCAGUGGGGAAGGAUCUCUCUCUCUUCAGAAGAUACACUUCACUGGAGCAUCCUGAGUGAGCCCAUGACAUGGGCAAAGGAACAAGGCUGCUGGAAGGAGUCAAAUGCUGAUUAUUUGACAACAUAUGGGAUAUCAGACCGUUCUUUGUGAAAAAGUCUACAUGUUAACUUUUCUGCUUUCAUUUCCUGCUUUCAGACCUGCACAUGCAAGAUAACAAGAAAGAAUUACAUAUACUUUUUACAUGUUUGUUUUAACCUCUUAACAAAUGACAUGCUGUAGGUAACUCCUGUCCUGGACUGUCACAACAAACAGACACAAACCAACAUGACACUUAUACAGAUGUACCCUGUCACAAGGCUGCCAGAGACUUCCUAACUGAGCUAAUGCUCCAUUUUCAGCACCUGCAGUAUUACCUCUGUGUUCUGUCUGAAUGUAAAUGGUUCCUUUCUGCAUCUGCAAAUAUAAUUCUUUACGAUUUUUUUUUACUAUUAUUCUCCUAGAGCCACAAUUAACUACCUUAGGAUUUUACACAAAUUAGAGUGUUACAUCUGCCCAGUUUUUCCACAAACAUCACCACCUUUAUGUUCCUUUUCAUUUUUUAUCCAUAUUUCUCUAUGUUGGCUUGGGAAUUGAGGAAAAUUCUUACCUACACUGUAUGCAGCACCUUGGUUGCCUGCUGGAGAGUUACAGCUGGUAAGCACAUACCAAACACAUGGUUUAGCAAAAGCAAAGAGAAGCCCAUGAUGUAUUUUCCUAAUGUUAAGGAGCCACCCUUCUAGAGAUGUUGGCUCCAGACAGCCAGAGACAGUGAAAUGGCUCUUUUCCAACCCUGUUUUCAGCAAUCACCUGCCCAGGGAUUAGCUCCUGAUCGAACUCCAGGUUCAAGCACUCAGGACUGUUCUUAGAAAGGAGGAGAGCUACGCACGGAUUCCCUGGCAAGUUCAAACAGUGCCUCCCAAAUGCUAACAAGUGACUCAGCCCAGGAAACUCAGCACUGGCCAAGGCUUCAGGGAAGGAACCAUCAAUGAGGCACAGCUUGGGAAUGUCCAUUUCUAGAGCCUCACAGGAGAGUACUGUUUAAUAUGCAGAAGCCUGGCUGGACUUGAGAAGAUGGACAGUGCACCUUCCUUGGCAGCUUUUGGUCUGCGUACAGCUUGAGGUCUUUUUCAGUUUUAUCAGACGCCUCUCUCUGAUAACUGACGCUCCUGACUUUACUGUGGAUAGUGGAGCUUUGAUCAGCAGAGCUUUGCUAGGCAAACUCCCAUGUGAUUUAACAUGAGCCAUUUUCACCCAGGGCUCUCAUGGUGCAGACACUGAGUUGCUUGUGUGCCCCUCUUACUAUGAAGAUAGAACGUAUCCAUACAGGAUUCUCCGACAAAACUUCUAGCUACAUGGAUACACUUCUGGAACAGGCCUAUCCUGAUGCUUGGAUAAAAACAAGUGAAGGAAAAAA
Molecule: long non-coding RNA, 1481 nt
Organism: Phasianus colchicus (ring-necked pheasant)
Lineage: Eukaryota; Metazoa; Chordata; Aves; Galliformes; Phasianidae
Source: RefSeq, a predicted model, not a curated record